UCCCUGGUGGUCCAGUGGUUAGGACUUGGCGCUUUCACCGCCAUGACUUGAGUUCAAGCCCUGGUCAGGGGA
RNAcentral lists this transfer RNA (72 nucleotides) under Ovis aries (sheep). It matches the Rfam family "tRNA". From Rfam's summary of the family: Transfer RNA (tRNA) molecules are approximately 80 nucleotides in length. Their secondary structure includes four short double-helical elements and three loops (D, anti-codon, and T loops). Further hydrogen bonds mediate the characteristic L-shaped molecular structure. tRNAs have two regions of fundamental functional importance: the anti-codon, which is responsible for specific mRNA codon recognition, and the 3' end, to which the tRNAs corresponding amino acid is attached (by aminoacyl-tRNA synthetases). tRNAs cope with the degeneracy of the genetic code in two manners: having more than one tRNA (with a specific anti-codon) for a particular amino acid; and 'wobble' base-pairing, i.e. permitting non-standard base-pairing at the 3rd anti-codon position. Lineage: Eukaryota; Metazoa; Chordata; Mammalia; Artiodactyla; Bovidae. The record is from Rfam by way of RNAcentral.